CAGACGUUCCUUACGUAUACCUCCCAACCCAUUGUUGAAUAUACCUAUUGUUGCUUCGGCGGGCCUUGCCCCGGGCGCCUCGCUGCUGCCCGGAUCAGGGCCCGCCAUAGGAACCUAAACUCUGUUUAUUUGGAAUAUUCUGAGUAGCUUAUUACAAUAAUUAA
This 164-nucleotide unclassified non-coding RNA is filed under the name soil metagenome. RNAcentral describes it as "partial internal transcribed spacer 1". The record is from RNAcentral.